CCUACGGGUGGCAGCAGUGGGGGAUAUUGCACAAUGGGGGAAACCCUGAUGCAGCGACGCCGCGUGUGGGAAGACGGUCCUCUGGAUUGUAAACCACUGUCCCCAGGGACGAAAAUGACGAUACCUAGGGAUGAAGCUCCGGCUAACUACGUGCCAGCAGCCGCGGUAAUACGGAGGGAGCGAGCGUUGUGCGGAAUUACUGGGUGUAACGGUAGCGUAGGCGGGGAUGCAAGUUGGGUGUCAAAUCUACGUGCUCAACUUGUAGUAGCACUCAAAACUGGAGCUCUUGAGUGAAGUAGAGGUAGGCGGAAUUCGUGGUGUAGCGGUGAAAUGCGUAGAUAUUAGGAGGAACACCGGUGGCGAAGGCGGCCUGCUGGGCUUUUACUGACGCUGAGGCUCGAAAGUGUGGGGAGCAAACAGGAUUAGAUACCCGUGUAGUC
This 440-nucleotide ribosomal RNA is filed under the name uncultured bacterium. Its description in RNAcentral is "partial 16S ribosomal RNA". It matches the Rfam family "Bacterial small subunit ribosomal RNA", at positions 338 to 795 of the family's 1533-position model. The record is from RNAcentral.